AGCAGCCGCGGUAAUUCCAGCUCCAAUAGCGUAUAUUAAAGUUGUUGCAGUUAAAAAGCUCGUAGUUGAAUUUCGGGGUUCUACCGUCGGUCGGGCUAACAAGUCUGUACUGGUGUGUAGAAUUUCUACCUUCUGGGGAACUAUCAUGUUAUUAAUUUAGCGUGGUGGGAAACCAGGACCUUUACCUUGAAAAAAUUAGAGUGUUCAAAGCAGGCUUACGUCUGAAUACAUUAGCAUGGAAUAAUAGAAUAGGACGGUGGUCCUGUUUUGUUGGUUUCUGAAUCACCGUAAUGAUUAAUAGGGAUAGUUGGGGGCAUUAGUAUUCAAUUGUCAGAGGUGAAAUUCUUGGAUUUAUUGAAGACUAACUUCUGCGAAAGCAUUUGCCAAGGAUGUUUUCAUUAAUCAAGAACGAAAGUUAGGGGAUCGAAGACGAUCAGAUACCGUCGUAGU
This 450-nucleotide ribosomal RNA is filed under the name uncultured Scutellospora. RNAcentral's name for it is "SSU rRNA". It matches the Rfam family "Eukaryotic small subunit ribosomal RNA", at positions 569 to 1024 of the family's 1831-position model. Lineage: Eukaryota; Fungi; Glomeromycota; Glomeromycetes; Diversisporales; Gigasporaceae. The record is from RNAcentral.